Molecule: regulatory RNA element, 46 nt
Organism: Gorilla gorilla gorilla (western lowland gorilla)
Lineage: Eukaryota; Metazoa; Chordata; Mammalia; Primates; Hominidae
Rfam family: Histone 3' UTR stem-loop
About the family: The mRNAs of metazoan histone genes lack a poly-A tail. 3' end processing occurs at a site between a highly conserved stem-loop (modelled by this family) and a purine rich region around 20 nts downstream (the histone downstream element, or HDE). The stem-loop is bound by a 31 kDa stem-loop binding protein (SLBP - also termed the histone hairpin binding protein, or HBP).
Source: Rfam
GAAAAGGCUCUUUUCAGAGCCACUUACAAUUUCACUUAAAAACAGU